AUUGAACGCUGGCGGCAGGCUUAACACAUGCAAGUCGAGCGGAGCGAGGGUGCUUGCACCUUAGCUUAGCGGCGGACGGGUGAGUAAUGCUUAGGAAUCUGCCUAUUAGUGGGGGACAACAUUCCGAAAGGAAUGCUAAUACCGCAUACGCCCUACGGGGGAAAGCAGGGGAUCUUCGGACCUUGCGCUAGUAGAUGAGCCUAAGUCGGAUUAGCUAGUUGGUGGGGUAAAGGCCUACCAAGGCGACGAUCUGUAGCGGGCCUGAGAGGAUGAUCCGCCACACUGGGACUGAGACACGGCCCAGACUCCUACGGGAGGCAGCAGUGGGGAAUAUUGGACAAUGGGCGGAAGCCUGGUCCAGCCAUGCCGCGUGUGUGAAGAAGGCCUUUUGGUUGUAAAGCACUUUAAGCGAGGAGGAGGCUACUUAGAUUAAUACUCUGGGAUAGUGGACGUUACUCGCAGAAUAAGCACCGGCUAACUCUGUGCCAGCAGCCGCGGUAA
Molecule: ribosomal RNA, 501 nt
Filed under: uncultured bacterium
Lineage: Bacteria
Description: partial 16S ribosomal RNA
Rfam family: Bacterial small subunit ribosomal RNA
Source: RNAcentral